This 446-nucleotide ribosomal RNA is filed under the name uncultured bacterium. RNAcentral describes it as "partial 16S ribosomal RNA". It matches the Rfam family "Bacterial small subunit ribosomal RNA", at positions 338 to 795 of the family's 1533-position model. The record is from RNAcentral.
CCUACGGGUGGCUGCAGUCGAGAAUCAUUCACAAUGGGGGAAACCCUGAUGGUGCGACGCCGCGUGGGGGAAUGAAGGUCUUCGGAUUGUAAACUCCUGUCAUGUGGGAGCAAAUUAAAAAGAUAGUACCACAAGAGGAAGAGACGGCUAACUCUGUGCCAGCAGCCGCGGUAAUACAGAGGUCCCAAGCGUUGUUCGGAAUAACUGGGCGUAAAGGGGUCGUAGGCUGUUUCGUAAGUCGUGUGUGAAAGGCGCGGGCUCAACCCGCGGACGGCACAUGAUACUGCGAGACUAGAGUAAUGGAGGGGGAACCGGAAUUCUCGGUGUAGCAGUGAAAUGCGUAGAUAUCGAGAGGAACACUCGUGGCGAAGGCGGGUUCCUGGACAUUAACUGACGCUGAGGCACGAAGGCCAGGGGAGCGAAAGGGAUUAGAUACCCCUGUAGUC